UAGGGAAUCUUCCACAAUGGACGCAAGUCUGAUGGAGCAACGCCGCGUGAGUGAAGAAGGUUUUCGGAUCGUAAAGCUCUGUUGUUGGUGAAGAUGGAUAGAGGCAGUAACUGGUCUUUAUUUGACGGUAAUCAACCAGAAAGUCACGGCUAACUACGUGCCAGCAGCCGCGGUAAUACGUAGGUGGCAAGCGUUGUCCGGAUUUAUUGGGCGUAAAGCGAGCGCAGGCGGAAUGAUAAGUCUGAUGUGAAAGCCCACGGCUCAACCGUGGAACUGCAUCGGAAACUGUCAUUCUUGAGUGCAGAAGAGGAGAGUGGAAUUCCAUGUGUAGCGGUGGAAUGCGUAGAUAUAUGGAAGAACACCAGUGGCGAAGGCGGCUCUCUGGUCUGCAACUGACGCUGAGGCUCGAAAGCAUGGGUAGCGAACAGG
This 429-nucleotide ribosomal RNA is filed under the name bacterium. RNAcentral's name for it is "partial 16S ribosomal RNA". It matches the Rfam family "Bacterial small subunit ribosomal RNA", at positions 355 to 776 of the family's 1533-position model. The record is from RNAcentral.